GGGAAUAUUGCACAAUGGGGGAAACCCUGAUGCAGCCAUGCCGCGUGUGUGAAGAAGGCCUUCGGGUUGUAAAGCACUUUCAGUAGGGAGGAAAGGUUGACGGUUAAUACCCGUUAGCUGUGACGUUACCUACAGAAGAAGGNCCGGCUAANUCCGUGCCAGCAGCCGCGGUAAUACGGAGGGUCCGAGCGUUAAUUGGAAUUACUGGGCGUAAAGCGUGCGCNGGCGGUUUGUUAAGCGAGAUGUGAAANCCCCGGGCUCAACCUGGGAAUUGCAUUUUGAACUGGCAAACUAGAGUCUUGUAGAGGGGGGUAGAAUUUCAGGUGUAGCGGUGAAAUGCGUAGAGAUUUGAAGGAAUCCCGGUGGGGAAGGCGGCCCCCUGGACAAAGACUGACGNUCAUGCCCGAAAGCGUGGGGAGCAAACNGGAUUAGAUACCCUGGUAGUNCNCNCCGUAAACGANGUNUACUCGGAGUUUGGGGUCUUGAACACUGGGCUCUCAAGCUAACGCAUUAAGUAGACCGCCUGGGGA
RNAcentral lists this ribosomal RNA (530 nucleotides) under uncultured bacterium. RNAcentral's name for it is "partial 16S ribosomal RNA". It matches the Rfam family "Bacterial small subunit ribosomal RNA", at positions 357 to 879 of the family's 1533-position model. The record is from RNAcentral.